RNAcentral lists this ribosomal RNA (77 nucleotides) under Paenibacillus jamilae. Its description in RNAcentral is "partial 23S ribosomal RNA". The record is from RNAcentral. Lineage: Bacteria; Bacillati; Bacillota; Bacilli; Caryophanales; Paenibacillaceae.
AGGUAGAUAGGUUGGGGGUGGAAGUGCAGCAAUGCAUGGAGCUGACCAAUACUAAUCGGUCGAGGGCUUAUCCUAAA